Molecule: ribosomal RNA, 406 nt
Filed under: uncultured bacterium
Lineage: Bacteria
Description: partial 16S ribosomal RNA
Rfam family: Bacterial small subunit ribosomal RNA
Source: RNAcentral
GACGAACGCUGGCGGCGUGCCUAAUACAUGCAAGUCGAACGAGUGGCGGACGGGUGAGUAAUGUCUGGGAAACUGCCUGAUGGAGGGGGAUAACUACUGGAAACGGUAGCUAAUACCGCAUACCAUCGGAUGUGCCCAGAUGGGAUUAGCUUGUUGGUGGGGUAACGGCUCACCAAGGCGACGAUCCCUAGCUGGUCUGAGAGGAUGACCAGCCACACUGGAACUGAGACACGGUCCAGACUCCUACGGGAGGCAGCAGUGGGGAAUAUUGCACAAUGGGCGCAAGCCUGAUGCAGCCAUGCCGCGUGUAUGAAGAAGGCCUUCGGGUUGUAAAGUACUUUCAGCGGGGAGGCGUUACCCGCAGAAGAAGCACCGGCUAACUCCGUGCCAGCCGCCGCGGUAAUAC